UGUGUUGCUGACAGCUUCUACACCUUAAACAAAUUCAUGCCUAGGUGGCUCUUGGGCCGGUCAUCCUUGUUACACGAGGGGCAACCAUUAUUAUCUAUAUAUGGUAAGAUCUUGUUAAAUGCUGAAAUAAUGCAGUACAGUGUGUAGAAUGCUGAAAUAAUGCAGUACAGUGUGUAGAAUGCUGAAAUAAUACAGUACAGUGUGUAGAAUGCUGAAAUAAUACAGUACAGUGUGUAGAAUGCUGAAAUAAUGCAGUACAGUGUGUAGAAUACUGAAAUAAUGCAGUAUAGUGUGUAGAAUGCUGAAAUAAUACAGUAAAGUGUGUAGAAUGCUGAAAUAAUGCAUUACAGUGUGUAAAGUGUGAGAAUGUAAAGUGAAUACGGAUUACAGACUCCAUAUUAACAUUCACAACUGAAGGGAAGAAAUCUGUAGACAGGGAGGAUAGAGAGAAGGAUCUGGUGAUUACUGGAGGUAGACAGAGCUGAUAGUGAGGGAGACUGGCUGAUUUAGGAGAUCAAUUCUCUGAAACUGACGAUAAAGUCAGAGGUGUGUGCGCAUGUUUGAAUAUAUAUAUGUGUGUGUGUGUGUGUGACUCCUCUAGCAACUUGCAGCAGAAUGUCAUAUAACUGUACCAAUGAUGUACUGUAUAAGGAGAGUUGAUCCAUUUAUAACUGGUUGGUUCUGCUCAACAGGUUUUGUCUAUCUUUGAUUGGUAAUACUGUACAGUACUGUUAUAUAACAAUUAAAAUAUCCAACAAUUUUCUGCUGCAUUUUAUGAGGUUUAGUACGAGUGUUGUUGGUGAUUGAUUGAUGGACACAUGAUCAAAUAUAUUGGCUUUUUCAGGGCUUCAGUGACCUUCCAAUAUGUAUGGCUGAGACUCACCCGUCCCUGAUGUCAGAUUCUAGUAAGAAGGGAGCGUCCACGAGCUUCACAAUUCCUGUGAGAGACGUAGGAGCAUCAGUUGGUGGUGGCUUCCUCGACCCUCUAGUAUGAACGGUCUGGAGGAAGUUGGUGUUUGAUGUAAUCCUCCUUGAUGGCUUUGUAAUGAGCUGCCAGUGACUGAUGUGACGGCACUGGACGUGAGCGCCUUUAAGACCAGACUUGACCAACACUGAUACAUUCAGGAGCCAGUUCAUGCCCAGUACUUGCCAACAGUGUGUAACUGAGACCUGACCAACAGCCCAAGUGGGGAAGAGGAGAGGAUAAACAAAAACUGCAACAGUAAUUUAUUGUGGAAGCUUGAAGACAUUUAACAUAUUAUGUUAAAGAGAUUGCUGAUUACAGUAAACCCUUGCCCAUUCAUAGGUUUGCAAUUUACAAUUUCCACGAUUCACAGUAAGUAGAUGGUGGCUAUGGUGGCAAGCCUCUCCUGCAGCACAAUGAGUCACCCCACGUGCCUGCAGUGUCUCCUCUCCCUCUGUUUGUGCUCAGCCAUUGCCUGUGACACAGCAUCUCAUGUUGUACUCUCAAAACUUUUGUGAUACUGUGUGAAAAUGGCCCCUAAAAGACUGCUAGUGAUGCUAGUCGAGUGAAAUGUAAAAGGCAAGUCAGUGAUGACCCUGACAAACCUGGCUUUCUUUACCGCUCGGCAAACCCUCGGGCUUUAAAGGGUGAAAACAAGAAUCUUUUGCCAGUUUUUUGGCAGUCCAACAAAAAGUCAUGGGUAACUGUGCAAGCAUUCAUGGAUUGGUUCCAUAAAUGCUUCAUCCUGGAAGUGGAAAAGUAUCUUGCCUCCAAGAAGAUGGAAUUCAGUGUGUUACUAUUGAUAGACAAUGCACCAGGCCACCCAGUUGUAGAGGGUGUUCCUACAGUACCCCUAACACCACUGCUUUUAUUCAGCCUCUCAAUGUUUGCAAGCGUUGGAAGGAGUACAGCAUUGCAGACUACAUUAGUGAAGCAUUCAAUGAACUCAAACCAGAGACAGUUAAUGCUUGUUGGCGCACCUUAUGGCCUGAGUGUAUGAAUAACUUCAGGGAUUUCCGUCUAUAGUAAAGGAUGUGAAUGACAUUGUGAGUGUUGCACGUCAGUUGGGUGGUGAGGGGUUUGUGGAUAUGGCUGCUGAAGACGUGGAAGAGCUGAUUGAUGGGCAUGGAGAGGAACUGACAGAAGAGAAUUUGAAAGAGUUGGUAUAAAGUGCCGAGAGAGAUGAAGAGGAAGAAAUUAUGGAAUUACAACAAGAAGGUUGGAGCUUGAACAAUUUGGGUGAACCAUUUUGACAGGUAAAGGUGGUAGCUGAUUCCAUUGUUGACCACGGCCCUUCCAUGGAACGGAGCCUUAGGAUGGUCCGAGGAAUCAACCAGGUAUUAUUUCCGUACCAAGAAAUGUUUAAAGACCUCAAAGCCAAGAGGAAACAACUACCAAUUGCGAUGUUUUUCAAGAACCAGCUGCUCACCCAGCUGAUUUGUCUCCCUCUCCUGGCCAUUUGCCACCUCCCGGCUGCAGGCCUCUCCACCACCCACCCUCUUCCACCAGUGAUCCUGAUGAUCUCCCUAUGCUUCAGUAACCAGAUGUCUCCCUAUGUACAGUACACUUCAUCAAGCUCCAAACUUCCACAUAUGAAGGUUCCCGUACAACUUGGAUCAACCCAAAGAUGACAAGAUUCUUGCCACUGGCCAGAAGAUAUACGGCGCCGACGACAUACAUCCAACCUAAGCUAACCACUACAGGAAACAGGGCUUCAGUGACCUUCCAAUAUGUAUGGCUGAGACUCGCCCGUCCCUGAUGUCAGAUCCUAGUAAGAAGGGAGCGUCCACGAGCUUCACAAUUCCUGUUAGAGACGUAGGAGCAUCAGUUGGUGGUGGCUUCCUCGACCCUCUAGUAUGAACGGUCUGGAGGAAGUUGGUGUUUGAUGUCAUCCUCCUUGAUGGCUUUGUAAUGAGCUGCCAGUGACUGUUGUGACGGCACUGGACGUGAGCGCCUUUAAGACCAGACUUGACCAACACUGAUACAUUUAGGAGCCAGUUCAUGCCCAGUACUUGCCAACAGUGUGUAACAGAGACCUGACCAACAGCUGGGCUGCUCACCCAGCUGAUUUGUCUCCCUCUCCUGGCCAUUUGUCACCUCCCGGCUGCAGGCCUCUCCACCACCCACCAUUGCAUCACCCUCUUCCACCAGUGAUCCUGAUGAUCUCCCUAUGCUUCAGUAACCAGAUGUCUCCCUAUGUACAGUACACUUCAUCAUCUCCAAACUUCCACAUAUGAAGGUUCCCGUACAACUUGGAUCAACCCAAAGAUGACAAGAUUCAUGCCACUGGCCAGAAGAUAUACGACCUGCCAGUGACCGCUGUGCCGGCACUGGAUGCGAGUUCCUUGAAGACCAGACUUGACCAACACUGGAGUGGGUACAUUCAAGAGCCUGUACAUAUCCAGUACUUGUCAACUGUGUAGCAGAAAAAUGACCAGCCACUUGACUGAUUAGUGAACCGACAAGAGGAUAGAGUGAAAGAGAGGAGCACCGGCAAGUGUGUGAGUGUGGUGGUGAUGUCAGCGACAGCAGUGGUGUUGGUUGAAGCAGCAGUUGUGAGGGAAGUAUGGUCCAGUAUACAGUACAAUAUACUAACACUUCUCAUAUUUUACAGGAGUGGCAGCAGCAGCAGAGGGAGGAGGUGUAUACUAAUGACAAUUCUCUCAUCUUUUACAGGAGCUGUGGUGGUGGAGGCAGCAGAGGGAGGGGUGGGGAAUACUAAUCACACUUCUCUUUUUCUUGCAGAUGGCG
RNAcentral lists this long non-coding RNA (3715 nucleotides) under Homarus americanus (American lobster). RNAcentral describes it as "uncharacterized LOC121863081, transcript variant X2". Lineage: Eukaryota; Metazoa; Arthropoda; Malacostraca; Decapoda; Nephropidae. The record is from RNAcentral.